UACGUAGGGACCAAGCGUUGUUCGGAUUUACUGGGCGUAAAGGGCGCGUAGGCGGCGCGGUAAGUCACUUGUGAAAUCUCUGAGCUUAACUCAGAACGGCCAAGUGAUACUGCAGUGCUAGAGUGUGGAAGGGGCAAUCGGAAUUCUUGGUGUAGCGGUGAAAUGCGUAGAUAUCAAGAGGAACACCAGUGGCGAAGGCGAGUCUCUGGACAUUUCCUGACGCUGAGGCACGAAAGCCAGGGGAGCAAACAGG
RNAcentral lists this ribosomal RNA (253 nucleotides) under uncultured bacterium. Its description in RNAcentral is "partial 16S ribosomal RNA". It matches the Rfam family "Bacterial small subunit ribosomal RNA", at positions 524 to 776 of the family's 1533-position model. The record is from RNAcentral.